RNAcentral lists this long non-coding RNA (13499 nucleotides) under Musa acuminata (dwarf banana). Its description in RNAcentral is "long non-coding RNA (MACU_LNC003951)". The record is from RNAcentral. Lineage: Eukaryota; Viridiplantae; Streptophyta; Magnoliopsida; Zingiberales; Musaceae.
AUUCUAAGAGAGAGUGUGAGGGAAGCUUUGUAAAAAAGGGGUGUAAAGGUUCUCUCCUGAGCCUGCAAAAGGAGAAUAGAGUUGUAAGGAGAUUGAUCUUCGCCUAUUAAAGGAAGAUCAUUAGUGGAUGCUGGUGGCCUCGACGGAAGGGGAAUCGGCGGAGUGGAUGUAGGUUACGGCGACAAAACCACUAUAAAAACUUGGUUUGCAUUUCUAUUCUUGCUAUUUACCUUCACUGCAAACUACUUACUUGCUUUACUUUCAUUACGCUUACGAAUACGAUUUCAAAGUUAACAUCUCUCCGAAACGAUUUUCGUCGAAAUCGGUUUUAAUCGAACGAAGAUUUUUUAAACCGAGGUAAUCUUUCCGCUGCACUAAUUCACCCCCCCCACCCCCCCCUCCCUCUUAGUGCCGACUCGUUCCUAACAGUUGGUAUCAGAGCCACGUUUUUCUCAUUUUGUUUAACACCCAAAGAGAAAUAUGACUCUUUUCGGCUUUCAAAAGGGUCACUCUCUCAUUCGUCCUCCUAUGUUCAAUGGGACGGACUACAUAUAUUGAAAAACUCAAAUGAGAGUUUUCUUGCUUUAUUUGGAUUUAAAUUUAUGGAGUAUUAUUGAAAAUGACUUUCAAAAAUCUUCAAAACCAAUGAACGAAUGGAAUGAUUUGGAGAAGAAGAUUUUUUCUUUAAAUGCUAGAGCUAUGAAUGAUCUAUUUUGCGCCUUAGACAAAAACGAAUUUAAUUGUGUUUCUAUGUGCGAAACGACUUUCGAUAUUUUGCACUCUUGAAAUCACACACGAAGGCACUACUAGAGUUAAAGAUUCUAAAGUCAAUCUUUUAAUGCACGAUUUUGAACUAUUUCAAAUAAAGCUAAGCGAAACUAUUGUUGACAUGUACACCCAUUUGACGGAUGUCGUCAAUAGUUUAAAAGCACUUGGCAAAUGUUUUUUGAAUUUUGAAAUUGUUAAUAAAAUUUUACGAUCACUUUCUAAAAAUUGGGAUUCAAAAGUAACGACAAUACAAGAAUCAAAAGAUUUGAACCAUUUUCCAAUCGAAGAACUAAUUGCGUCUUUAAUAACCUUCGAAAUGAGUUUUAUAACACAUGUGGCACAAAACGAACUUAAGAACCACCUUUCAAAGAAUAAAAAGGAUUUCGGACUAAGAACAAUCGAAUAUCACUCGAGCAUAAGCUCAAGUGAUGGUGAACUUGAACUCCUCACCAUAAAAUUUAAAAAGUUCAUGAAACAAAAAUUAAAGAACAAAAAGAACACAACUACUUACUAUGAACGCAAGAAGAGGGAACCACUUUGGGACGAAUCGAGCUCAUCCGUAGACGAGUAAAAAAUCAACAAAAACGAUGUGGCAAACUACGCCUUAACGGCUUUUGACGACGAGGUAAUCAAAAUCCCCUUAGUUUAUUUCAAAAUUACAUUAUGCUUUUCAUGAGUUAUUUUUAAUUUAGUUUAAUUAUUUUUUCUUGAAAAUUACAUGUUUAAUAAUGUAAUAAAAAUGCUAAAAAAAUGGGAUCAUGCUAGUAAUUUUAAAAAUGAUCAUGAUAAUUAUAUGUUUUACGAAAAUAUAAUAAAAUAAUAAUUCUAUGCAUGUUUUAAGAAGCAAUAAUGAUUUUCGUAUUGCCUUUUGAUUAUAAAUGAUGAUGCAUGACUUUUAUAUGGAAAACUAAGCAUGAAAAGUUAGAUUCACCUAAAAAGAAAAAUGCAUAACUACAACAAACAAAAUAAUUUUGAUGGAAAAUGAUUUAUGAAAUCAUUCUUGAUGUUUUAAUGAUGUAAUGAAGUAAUAAUUUGUAUCAUAAUGAUUUUUAUUGAGCUUGAUGAUUUCUAUGAUUUUUUUUGCUCUUUCGAUUUUAAACUAUGAUGUAUGGUUUUCAUACGAAAAACUUGAGCAUCCUAAUAUGAAAUCAAUCACACAAAAUGAAACACAUAAAAAGAAAAUUGUAUUAUCAUUGGAAUCAAAAUGAUAAACCAAAUCGCUUGUUUAAAGAAGUCUUAUGUUUAAUGUGUUAUAUUUUUUGUCAUGAUGAGAAAAUGUUUUUUGGUUUAAAUGAUGAUAUAUGCUUCGAUUUGGCAUAAAUGAAAAAGGCAUACUUCUAUGAAACAAACAACUUAAAAUGAAAUAACCAAAAAGAGAAUGCAUUUUGAAAAUAAAUGUUUAUAUCAUAUUUGAUGAUUUUAUAUUUUUUAAACUAUGCAUGAUGAGUUGAAGUAGUAAUGGUUUGAAUGCAUGAAUCGACAAUUUUUUUUGUCACACGAAUCAUGACUUCGUCACUUGAUACUCUAAUUUUUUUUUUAUGAUUCAUGAAAAAUUGAGACAUUAUGCAUGAAUCAAGUUCUCGUGUGAAUCUAUCUAUGUUGCCUUCAUUAAAUUUUUCGAAAAGUGAUUUUGAUGAUCAUUUUGAUUAUUUAAAAGGAGAAUUAUCGAAAUGAUUCAUGGAAUUUUGGAUUCAUGACUUGAUCUUUCAUUUGUUUAUAAGAUAGUUCAAAUUUUUGUACCUUCGAAUUUUUCCCUUCUCCUUUCAAUUUUUUGAAAUUAUGCAUGUUAUAUGUUGAAGAUUUGAAAACAUGUUUUGAUAUCAUGAAUACCCAAGAAAUGUUGAUUUGACAAAUUGAAUGAGUUGAAAACAAAUGAUGAUUUUUUUUUCUCUUGAUUAUAACUUGUGAUACUUCUUAUAUGAAUCAUCAUCUUGAUUUCUCGAUAUUUGAUACCAUCAUAAUGUGAAAUAUUUAUGAUUUGGAAUGAUGCAUGCAAUACUUAUGAUUUCAUUAUGAUGAUAUGAUGUAUUGCAUAUGAUGUGAAUCAUAUUUAAAAUUACUUUAAUUUGAAUUCAAUUUGAAUUCAAGGUUUAUCUCAAUGACAUAUUGUAAUAAGAGUAACACUUUAUCUUUGUCAUGAUUUAAAAAUUGUUGUAAAGGAAAAAAGAGAUACAAAAUUAUAUUCUUCCCUUCUUUUUGACAAUGACAAAGGGGGAGAUAACUUGCUUGCUUGCUCAUCUAAAGAGUAGCAAAAAUUGCAAACGUACAUAUCGCUAAAAGAGGCAAAACUUUUUAGUUUGCUCAUCUUAAAAGCAAGAAAUGCUAUCUUACAAUCUCAAGAGAAGCAAUAGUGCUAUCUUGCCUAUCUCAAGAAGCAAAACUUGCAACUUGCACAUUGCAAAAGGAAGCAAGAAUCGCUAGCUUGCACACUUCAACAAGAAAGUUAUCUUGCAUUUGCUUUCGAAAUAUUACUAGCUUACACCUUCUAAAAUGAAAAAAAUAAAAAAAAAUUUUGCAAGCUUAUAUGUUGUAAACUUGCUCUCACUACCUUGCAUAUCUAAAACUUGAUAACUUGCAUGUUCUAAUAUGAUGUAACACUUGCUAAAUUUGCUAGCUUGCAUAAUAAUUAAAAUGGAGAUUAUGUUUAGUAUGCAAUGAUUUGAACUUAUAUCUCAAACACUUAAUAGUUGAACUUCUCUUUUUUGUUGAUAACAAAGGGGGAGAAGUAUGAUGUAAUGCAUAAGUUUUAUGAUAACAUGUUGCUUGGAUUUUUGAAUCCAAGAGUUCUAUCAAUAUGGUAUAUUGAUAGGGGGAGUUUAUUUAAACUCCGAGAGUUAAGGUUAACUUCGUCAUCAAUUAGUUGUCAUCAUCAAAAAGGGAGAAAUUGUUGAAUCUCGGAUUUUGAUAAUGAAACUAAUUGAUAAGUGUUUAUAAUUUGAUCUGUCUUUUGAGUGAUGUAGGAUGCUUCGAUAAGGAUAAGACAAUUAAAGCAUGAAGAAUUAUGUUGGGCUGGAGGAAAACAAGUCAGAAGAUUGGACGUCGAGUCGGAGGAUCGGUCGACGUAUCGACAGAAGGCUUCGGGCCAUGGAUUCGGGUAUCGAGCCAAGAAGAGCGGAUAUUGCACCAAGGAUAUCAAAGUUGCGGAGGUCAACUGGCCGAUUGGGCAAUAGGCCGCAAGAGAGGACGAUGCACCGAAUAAUCGGACGAAACGUCGAUGGACCAAUGACAUGUCGGACAACAUGAUUCAUGCUUAGUAAUAAUUGUUUAGAUCGAAGUAUGUUUUAUGUGUGCAGGAUUAACUACGAUAGCAAAACAUAAAGCAAAAUGAAGUUCCGGAGUCAAGAACGCGAUUUCGUUGGGAGUUCGAGAGUUCGUCGGAAGUCUGGACGUUCAUCGGAAUUACCAUCGGAAUUGGCCAAGAAGUCCAGGAGCUUGCCAAAGAAGUACAUCCGAACUCCCUAAGAAGAUCAUCCUAAAGUCUAGGUGCUUGCUGGGAGUCCGCUAGAACAUUGCCGAGAGAUCGUCGGAAGUUCGUCGGAAGAUCGCCGGAAGAAACCUAGACUUACGAACUUUGUUUAGCUUAGUAAAUGUCUUAAAAUUCAUAGUUAGCACAUAAUUGGGAUUAGAAUUGGGCCAACCCAAUUAGAGGAAAGUUGGGCCAAGUUUGGGCUGUGUUGGGCCAAGAGAAAGGUCCAAACAGUGACCAAAUAAGUGAAACCGUCGUGGCACAGUCUCCGAGACUAUGUCAGGUGGUGGUACCGCUAGUCUGGGCGAUGGUACCGCUAGUCUGGGCGGUGGUACCUGUUGAAUCUCGGAUUUUGAUGAUGAAGUCAAUUGAUGGGUUAAUUGAUCUAAACCAUAUUAUUGAGUUAAGUGUGCAGGAUUAACUACGAUAGCUUGAAGACAUAAAGCAAGUUUACCGGAGUCAAGUUCGAUGGGUGUUCGAGAGUCCGUCGAAAGUCCGAAUAAUCGUUGGAAGUGCUGCCGGAACCAACCGAGAAAGAAUCAGGGACUUGCCGAAGUUUUCAGAAGUCCGCCAGAAAGAUCGUCGGAGGUUCGCGGAGAUCACCGAGAAGGUUCGGAUACUUGCCAAAGACUCGUUGAACUCGCCACAAGACCGGGAGCCUGUUGGGAGUCCGCCGGAAGUUCGCCGGAAAGCUCGCUGGAAGGAAACUCGACGUUACCGGUUAAAAAUUUGCUUAAGGCUAUGUCUUAAUUUCGUAGUUUGCAUAUAAUUUGGGUUAGGAUUAAGGGUUAAUCCUAUAACCCGAUUAUGGGCCAAUUAGGCCCAAGUUUGGACUGGUUUGGGUCAAGUUUGGAGCCCAACUAGUGAGCUCGAACAGUCCAGGAAGUGGCACCGCCCAGAACCCGAGAGGUCCGGCGGUGGCACCACCAGUACACUGUCAGUGUCAGACACUGACAGGCAGUGGCACCGCCAGCACCGGGAAACCCAAAAGUAAUUCAAAUUUGGAGCCUAAAUUUGAAUCCUCUUGGGACCUAUAAAUACCCCCCAAUUCUCAACAAAGAUGACACCUUUUUGAGAAGUUAGAAAGUGAGAAAAAGCUCUAGUAAAGUCUUGUUUUCAAUAGCUUAAGUGUUCACCUCGUUCUUUCUCUUUGAAAAAAAUCUGUAAGAGUGUGAACCACUUGUAAGAAGGUUGUAAGAGGGGUAUUUGGUCCUUCCCCUUCAAAGUGAUUUGCUGGUGGAAGUUGGGAGCCUCAUCGAAGAAGGCUUCGAAAGUAGAUGUAGGUCAUUUGACCGAACCACUAUACAUCGUGGUAUUCCUUGAAUGUGUUAGUGUUUAAUUUUCUGAACCAUUUCUCUACUUAGCUGCAAAUCAUUCGGUUUUCAUCUCCCUACUCUUGACUACCUUUACUCGAGCUAUUUUAGCUAAGUCAUCCUUCGUCGAAUCGAAAUCUCAACACAUUUACGAAAUCGAUUUUAAACUUACGAGUUUUAAUCCGCUGCACUAAUUUACACCCCCCACCCCUCUUAGUGCCGCUCCGAUCCCAACAAUUGGUAUCAGAGCAAGGCUCACUCUCAUAUUUGGUUUAAUACCCAAGAGAGAUGGCUUACUCCGGCAUGCAAGAGGGUCACUCUAUUACACGUCCGCCUAUGUUUAAUGGGUCGGAUUACACGUAUUGGAAGACUCAUUUGAGGAUCUUCCUUAUUUCCAUGGAUUUUGAACUUUGGAAUAUUGUCGAAAAUGGAUUUAAAAAAUCUUCUCUUCCGAUGAGCGAAUGGGAUGAAUCGGAGAAGAAGGUUUUUGCUUUAAACGCAAAGGCUAUGAAUGCCUUGUUUUGUGCACUUGACAAAAAUGAAUUUAAUCGCGUUUCGAUUUGUGAUUCGACUUUUGAUAUUUGGAGAACUCUUGAGGUCGCUCAUGAAUGCACUAGCCGAGUAAAAGAGUCCAAAAUCAACAUUCUUGUGCAUUCUUACGAACUUUUCCGGAUAAAACCAAGUGAGUCCAUCGGAGACAUAUACACCCGUUUCACAUAUGUCAUCAAUGGACUCAAAGCUCUUGGUAAAGGUUUUUCUAACUUUGAACUAGUAACUAAAAUUUUAAGAUCCCUUCCAAAGAGUUGGGAUCCAAAAGUUACAGCCAUUCAAGAGGCCAAGGACUUUAAAACAUUUCCUCUCGAAGAACUUAUUGGGUCUCUAAUGACCUACGAAAUGACGUGCCAUGAUCAUGAAUAGCUCGAGAACCCCCUUCCAAAGAACAGGAAGGAUAUGAUACUUAGAACACAAGAAGACCACUUGAAAGGAACAUCAAGUGAUGAGGACAGUGACGAUGACGUUGCACUUUUAACUCGAAAAUUUAAAAAAUUUAUAAGAAAGAACAAAUUUAAAAAUGACACCAAAAACAAACUUGAACAUAAAAAGGACCAAGUAAUAUGCUACGAAUACAAGAAGCCGGGGCACUUCAAAAAUAAAUGCCCCCAAGCCAAGAAGAAGCAACCAAAGAAGAAGAAAGCUUUAAAAGCGACUUGGGAUGACUCAAGUGAUUUCGAGAAUGAAGAAGCUAACAACAAAGAGGAGGCAAACUUCGCGCUAAUGACUUUAGGAGGAGAGGUAUGUGAUUUAAUUAAUGAAGAUUUAUCUUUCGAUGAACUUUCUAUCGCUUUUCACAAAUUAUUUGAUGAGUGUAGAACUAUUAGUAAGAAGUUCAAUCUAUUAAAGAAAGAGCAUGCCUUACUACAAAAUAAGCUUGAUAGUCUUCAAACUCCUCCAUGUUCUAAGUGUGAACACUUAGAAGCAAUAAAAAAUGAGAAUUUACUACUUAAGGAGACCUUAAACAAGUUUAAGGUCGGUAGUAAAGGCUUGGACAGGAUCCUUGCAAACAAGGGUCACGUCGCAAAUAGAAGUGGAAUUGGUUUUGUGAGAGGAUCUCACCAAAAUCCUACCACCUUCAUUAAAGGACCCGCAUUACAUGUUUCACCUCAUUUGAAAUGCAACUUUUAUUGUAAAUCCGGACAUGUUGUUUACAAAUGUCCAUUUAAGAAAAUUAGUCCACAUAAGUUGAUAUGGGUUCCUAAAGGAACUAUAAAUAAUUCAAUGAUGAAUGACAAAAUUAGUAGAUCAAUUUUUUAGGUACCCAAAAUCAAAUGGGUACCUAAAAACCAUCCUCUUUUGUAGACAAACUCACAAGCUAGGAGCAAGAGAUGGUAUCUUGAUAGUGGAUGCUCAAGGCAUAUGACCGGAGAUCCAUCUCAUUUCUCUAUGCUCACUAGCAAAGAAGAAGAGUAUGUCACCUUCGGAGACAACAAUAAAAGUAAAAUCAUUGGCAAGGGAACCAUAGGUAACAAAUCAAAAUUUUCAAUUGAUGAUGUGUUGCUAGUUGAUGGAUUAAAACAUAAUCUCUUAAGCAUUAGUCAAUUAUGCGAUAAAGGUUACAUCGUUAGAUUUAAAUCUAAUGUGUGCAUUAUUGAAAAACCAAACAAUAACAUAUCAAUGAUUGCCUUAAAACAAAAUAAUGUCAACAUCAUCAACCUUAAUGAACUUAGUAAUGAAAUAUGCUUUUCCGCUUUAAAUGAUGAUGCUUGGCUUUGGCAUAGGAGAUUAGGUCAUGCAAGUAUGAAACUAAUAUCUAAGAUUUCAUCUAGAGAGUUAGUACGAGAGAUUCCCAAUAUGAAGUUUAUUAAGGACAAAGUGUGUGAUGCUUGUCAACUAAGAAAAUAAAUAAAAACUAGUUUCAAACCAAAAAAUCAAAUUAGCACCACUAGAUCAUUGCAAUUGAUUCAUUUGGACUUAUUUGAACCAAUUGACACAACGAGUCUAGGAAGAAGCAAAUAUGCCUUCAUAAUUGUAGAUGACUAUAGUAGAUAUACUUGGACCUAUUUCUUGGCUCACAAAAGUGAUUGUUUCAAAUGUUUCUCUAAAUUUUGUAAACUUACUCAAAACGAAAAAGGCUUCAUUAUUUCAUCAAUUCGGAGUGAUCACGAUGGCGAAUUUCAAAACCGUGACUUCCAAAGUUUUUGUGAAUCUAAUGGAUAUAACUACAACUCCACUUCGAGAAAUCCUCAACAAAAUGGGGUAGUUGAAAGAAAAAAUAAAAAUUUACAAGAAAUGGCAAGAACCAUGUUAAAUGAACAUAUUCUAUCUAAGUAUUUUUGGACCGAAACCGUUAAUACGGCUUGCUAUGUCAUGAAUAGGGUUCUAAUAAAACCAUCUCUAUCAAAAACUCUCUAUAAAUUAUGGAAUAACAAAAAACCAAAUGUUUCUUAUUUUAACAUUUUCAGUUGCAAAUGCUUUAUUUUGAAUGAAAAUGAUGCCUUAGGAAAAUUUGAUGCUAAAUCCAAUGAAGGCAUCUUUCUUUGUUAGUCUUCCGUUUUUAAGACUUUUCGUGUUUUUAACAAAAGAACUUUAGUUAUAGAAGAAUCUAUUCAUAUAGUUUUUAAUGAAAUUUUUGAGUUAAAGAAAAAUGAUUUUGAUGAUGAUCUUGGUUUUGAUAAUUUGAAUUUAAAUGAACCCCCUCCUCAAAAUAGCAACUUGGAUACAUCUUCUUCCGAAAUUUCCUUACCCAAGGAAUGGAAGUAUGUAGAUACUCAUCCAAAGGAGCUAAUUAUAGGAGAUACAUCAAAAGGGGUUCAAACUUGUUCUUCCUUCAAGAAUUUUUGUGCUAACGCCGCCUUCCUUUCUCAAAUUGAACCUAAAUGCAUUGACGAAGCCUUGAAAGAUGAUUCAUGGGUUAUUGCAAUGCAAGAGGAAUUAAACCAAUUUGAGAGGAAUGAGGUAUAGAAGCUUGUUCCUAGACCUAGUGACCAUUUAGUCAUUGGUACUAAAUGGAUCUUUAGAAACAAGCAAGAUGAAUGCGGUAUCGUGAUUAGAAACAAGGCUAAACUAGUGGCCAAAGGUUUCAACCAAGAAGAAGGUAUCGACUACGAAGAGACCUUUGCUCCUGUGGCAAGAUUAGAAGCCAUUAAUUAGGAUGCUCCUUGCCUAUGCUAGUAGUAAUGAUUUUAAACUAUUUUAAAUGGAUGUCAAAAGUGCUUUCUUAAAUGGUUUUAUUUCCGAAGAAGUGUAUGUUGAACAACCUCCCGGAUUUGAAAAUUCUCUUCUUCCUAAUCAUGUAUUUAAAUUGACUAAGGCUCUUUAUAACUUAAAACAAGCUCCUAGAGCUUGGUAUGAAAGGCUUAGUUCCUUUCUUAUUUUAAAUAAUUUUACAAAAAGUAAGGUUGAUACUACAUUGUUUAUCAAACAUUUUGAAAAUAAUUUUCUUAUUGUUCAAAUUUAUGUUGACGAUAUUAUUUUUUGUUCUUCGGAUGAAUCACUAUGUGAAUCAUUUGCCAAGUGUAUGAGUCAUGAAUUUGAAAUGAGCCUAAUGGGAGAACUAACCUUCUUUUUAGGAUUGCAAAUUAAACAACUUAGUAAUGGUAUAUUUCUUGAUCAAUCUAAAUAUACAUUAGAAUUGUUAAAACGAUUUAACAUGGAUGGUUCAAAAACUAUAAACACUCCUAUGAGUACUUCCACUAAGUUAGACAUGGAUGAAAGUGGUGAAAACUUUGAUCAAAAAAAAUAUAGGGGAAUGAUUGGUAGUUUACUUUACCUCAUCGCAACUAGACCGGAUAUCAUGUUUAGUGUAGGACUUUGUGCUAGGUUUAAAGCUAAUCCUAAAUUAUCUCGUCUUAAAUGUGUUAAAAGAAUCCUUAGAUAUCUUAAAGGAUCUCCUAAUUUUUUAUUAUGAUAUCUAAAAUCCGAUAAUUUUGAUUUAAUAGCUUAUGCAGAUGCCGAUUUUGACGGAUGUAGGAUAGAUAAAAAAAACACAUCCGGAACAUGUCAAUUUUUAGGACAUGCACUUGUUUCUUGAACUUCCAAGAAACAAAAUUCGGUUGCCUAUAAUAUUUGUGUCUCACCCGAUGAAGAAAUAAUCCAGAUCGAUCAAUUUAACACUAUCAACAGAAUCCUACUCAAGAGACUUAGGUGCGCUUUUGGCAAUGGUAUAUGGAUUAAGCAACCUAGAAGGACUGAUCCAGUUCCCCCACCAGUAAAACACCCUGAAACACCCAUUUUUAAGGGAAAUGAAUCUCCUCCUCCUAGUCCCUUUGGUGCAGCACCUUCAGAACCAGCUCCUGCUUCAUCUUCUGAAUAUCCCAUAACGGCAGAAUUAAAUCAAAUCAAAUUACAACAAGAGCAACUCAAAUCACAGCAAGAGCAAAUCCAUUUACAGCAAGUUGAAAUUUUGAGGGAACUACGACAGAUGAACCAGAAGAUAAAUGCCAUGUAUAAGAACUCUGGAAUUCCUCCUAAGGAAUAAUCGUUGUGUUAAACCUUUCUUAUUAUUGUAAACCUCUAUGCUACUUUGACAUGCGUUUGACAUUAUCCUAGUAUAUGAUGUUGGAUGUUUCUUUCCGAAAUUUUGCCAACAUUUUGAUGGCACCUUCAUGUUAUUUUGGAUGAUUUGAUGUCUUCCUUGAAUGAUCAAUCUUAAUGCCAAGUUGAAGCUUUGUCAAUUUUGACAUCUCCUUUUUAAGAUUUUUUUUCUUAUGAGAUGAUUUUAUAAAUGGCUUCAAUGAUCACGAGUUUUAUGCUUAAAAACUCAUCUCCUUUUUGUUGAUGAGAAAGAGGGAGAAAAAUGUGCAAAAGAUUGAUGACUUGUGCAAAUAUGAAAUUAGCAUGACUUAUAUGUAUCGUAUUGCAAUAGCUUAUAUGUUGUAUAAUGCAAUGAAAAAUGUCUUAUAUGUGUUAUAUUCCUUAAAAGUAUCGCAAAACUUUUUUAACAUAUCGUAUAUGAAAGUUUUUAGAUUGGUUGUCGUAUCAUGUUUAUCAUUUUUUUAUAUAUAUGAUAAGCAAUCAUCUCAUGAUCAUAUGAAAUCAUACCUUGUAUUUAUAUCAUGAGAUCCAUGUUGAAAUUUUAAAUUAUUAUUAUUUCUUAUCGAAAUGAUAAUUAUCAUUUAUCAUUCGGCUUGAAAAUAAUUUUCAUGCCUUGAAAUUAUGAGAAAUACGAAGUUUCGUAUUUGCUCAUGCUUAUUAAGAAUAACGAUAAGUUCAACGGAUAGAACUUAUCGGUUUAGGCUUUAAUUCAAAGAGAUUGAAUUCAAGUGUUUUUAUCUUCUCAUAAUAUGACAUAUAGAUAGGGGGAGUUAUGAUUAACUUCGUCAUCAAUUGAUUGUCAACAUAAAAAAUGGGGAGAUUGUUGAAUCUCGGAUUUUGAUGAUGAAGUCAAUUGAUGGGUUAAUUGAUCUAAUCCAUAUUAUUGAGUUAAGUGUGCAGGAUUAACUACGAUAGCUUGAAGACAUAAAGCAAGUUUACCGGAGUCAAGUUCGAUGGGUGUUCAAGAGUCCGCCGAAAGUCCAAAGAAUCGUCGGAAGUGCUGUUGGAACCAACCAAGAAAGAAUCAGGGACUUGCCGAAGUUUUCGGAAGUCCGCCGGAAAGAUCGUCAGAGGUUCGCGGAGAUCACCGAGAAGGUUCGGAUACUUGCCAAAGACUCGUUGAACUCGCCACAAGACCAGGAGCCUACCGGGAGUCCGCCGGAAGAAAUCCGAGGGUGUAUCGGUAGUCCGCCGGAUGUUCGCCGGAAAGCUCGCUAGAAGGAAACUCGACGUUGCUGAUUAAAAAUUUGCUUAGGGCUAUAUCUUAAUUUCGUAGUUUGCAUAUAAUUUGGGUUAGGAUUAAGGGUUAAUCCCAUAACCCGGUUAGGAGCCAAUUAGACCCGAGUUUGGACUGGUUUGGGCCAAGUUUGGAGCCCAACCAGUGAGCUGGAACAGUCCAGGCGAUGGCACCGCCGGACUGGGCAGUGGCACCGCCCAGAACCCGAGAGGUCCGGCGGUGGCACCACCAAUAUACUAUCGGUGUCAGACACUGACAGGCGGUGGCACCGCCACUGAUAGGCGGUGGCACCGCCAGCACCGGGAAACCCAAAAGUAAUUCAAAUUUGGAGCCUAAAUUUGAAUCCUCUUGGGGCCUAUAAAUACCCCUCAAUUCUCAGUAGAGAUGACACCUUUUUGAGAAGUUAGAAAGUGAGAAAAAGCUCUAGCAAAGUCUUGUUUUCAAUAGCUUAAGUGUUCACCUCCCUCUUUCUCUUUGAAAAAAAUCUGUAAGAGUGUGAACCACUUGUAAGAAGGUUGUAAGAGGGGUAUUUGGUCCUUUCCCUUCAAAGUGAUUUGCUAGUGGAAGUUGGGAGCCUCAUCGAAAAAGGCUUCGAAAGUAUAUGUAGGUAAUUUGACCAAACCACUAUACAUCGUGGUGUUCCUUAAAUGUAUGAGUGUUCAAUUUUCUGAACCAUUUCUCUACUUAGCUGCAAAUCGUUCGGUUUUCAUCUCCCUACUCUUGACUACCUUUACUCGAGCUAUUUUAGCUAAGUCAUCCUUCGUCGAAUCGAAAUCUCUACACAUUUACAAAAUCGAUUUCAAACUUACGAGUUUUAAUCCGCUGCACUAAUUCACCCCCUCCCCCCUUAGUGCCGCUCCGAUCCUAACAGUACCGCCCAGACACAGUCUUCUAGGCGGUGGUACCGCCCAAUGUCAGGCUACAAGCGAUGUUAACGCCCAGUGCAGACGAUGGUACCGCCCAGUGCAGGCAGUGGUACCGCCCAAUGCAGGCGGUGGUACCACCCGUACCCUGAAAUUUCAGAGGAUUUGAAUUUUGGCUCCAUUUUUCAAGUCAUUUGGGGUCCAUAAAAAUCCUAGCUAUUCUUGCAUAGAGAAGCAAAAAAAGUGAACAAAAACUCUGUGUUUCUAAAGUUGAAAACCCUUGUAAAGUAUAUAGUCCCUCAUCCUAAAGUUUAGAAAUCAUUCUAAGAGAGAGUGUGAGGGAAGCUUUGUAAAAAGGGGGUGUAAAGGUUCUCUCCUAAGCCUGCAAAAGGAGAAUAAAGUUGUAAGAAGGAGGUUGAUCUUCGCCUAUUAAAGGAAGAUCAUUAGUGGAUGUUGGUGGCUUCGAUGAAAGGGGAUUCAGCGGAGUGGAUGGAGGUCACGGCGACCGAACCACUAUAAAAACUUGGUUUGCAUUUCUAUUCUUGCUAUUUACCUUCACUGCAAACUACUUACUUGCUUUACUUUCAUUACACUUACGAAUACAAUUUCAAAGUUAACAUCUUUCCGAAACGAUUUUCAUCGAAAUCAGUUUUAAUCGAACGAAGAUUUUUUAAACCGACGUAAUCUUUCCGCUGCACUAAUUCACCCCCCCUCUUAGUGCCGACUCGUUCCUAACACCUAGUUGUUGCCUUUUCAUAACAAAUCAAUAUGUAAAUUUCAUGCUAUUAUUUCAGAAGAGCAACUGAAAUUUUAAGUUAGAA